AGUUUGAUCCUGGCUCAGGAUGAACGCUAGCUACAGGCUUAACACAUGCAAGUCGAGGGGAAACGACAUCGAAAGCUUGCUUUUGAUGGGCGUCGACCGGCGCACGGGUGAGUAACGCGUAUCCAACCUGCCCAUCACUUGGGGAUAACCUUGCGAAAGUAAGACUAAUACCCAAUGAUAUCUCUAGAAGACAUCUGAAGGAGAUUAAAGAUUUGUCGGUGAUGGAUGGGGAUGCGUCUGAUUAGCUUGUUGGCGGGGUAACGGCCCACCAAGGCGACGAUCAGUAGGGGUUCUGAGAGGAAGGUCCCCCACAUUGGAACUGAGACACGGUCCAAACUCCUACGGGAGGCAGCAGUGAGGAAUAUUGGUCAAUGGACGAGAGUCUGAACCAGCCAAGUAGCGUGCAGGAUGACGGCCCUAUGGGUUGUAAACUGCUUUUAUAAGGGAAUAAAGUGAGUCUCGUGAGGCUUUUUGCAUGUACCUUAUGAAUAAGGACCGGCUAAUUCCGUGCCAGCAGCCGCGGUAAUACGGAAGGUCCGGGCGUUAUCCGGAUUUAUUGGGUUUAAAGGGAGCGUAGGCCGGAGAUUAAGCGUGUUGUGAAAUGUAGACGCUCAACGUCUGCACUGCAGCGCGAACUGGUUUCCUUGAGUACGCACAAAGUGGGCGGAAUUCGUGGUGUAGCGGUGAAAUGCUUAGAUAUCACGAAGAACUCCGAUUGCGAAGGCAGCUCACUGGAGCGCAACUGACGCUGAAGCUCGAAAGUGCGGGUAUCGAACAGGAUUAGAUACCCUGGUAGUCCGCACGGUAAACGAUGGAUGCCCGCUGUUGGUCUGAAUAGGUCAGCGGCCAAGCGAAAGCAUUAAGCAUCCCACCUGGGGAGUACGCCGGCAACGGUGAAACUCAAAGGAAUUGACGG
This 916-nucleotide ribosomal RNA is filed under the name uncultured bacterium. RNAcentral's name for it is "bacterial SSU rRNA". It matches the Rfam family "Bacterial small subunit ribosomal RNA", at positions 10 to 916 of the family's 1533-position model. The record is from RNAcentral.